This is a long non-coding RNA of Suricata suricatta (meerkat), 2436 nucleotides long. RefSeq lists it as uncharacterized. The record is from RefSeq and is a predicted model, not a curated record. NCBI's taxonomy places the organism in Eukaryota, Metazoa, Chordata, Mammalia, Carnivora, Herpestidae. The transcript has 2 exons.
UUGAACUCAGGUCAAGACCAUGACCUGAGCAGUGUUGGCUGCUUAACCGUCUGAGCCAUCCAGGUGCCCCAAUAUCCUCCGCUUUAACCUGUGAGCUCUGGCCGAGUCCUUGGGAUUCUGUCACAGAUUGGCAACAGGACCCCUUGGGACUGCCCAUUUGAACUCUGUUCACAGUGAGAGGCCUAGGUCGUAUGAAGUUGCCAAGCAGGUCAUAACCGUACAUUAUGGACAUUGUCAUGUGGUCCCAGAGGUUGGGUAGGGACUGGCCUUACACACGCAGAAGGGAGAAAUGAGGUCGAUAUGUGUGUGCCCAGCAUUAUCCCAUUCCCAUCUGUAAUGUAGAGCCUUCGUGUCCCUUGUGGCCAGCCAUUCUUGACAAUUUGCAUUUUCUAAGUCUUGGGUCCAUUUAGGGACGAGCAGGCUUUCACCCACGUCACACCAGCAGAGCCUAAAGAUUGGUGCUAAACUCCCACUCCGUUCCUGUGCUAUGUGAGAGUCAACAGUAACUUCCUCCCAAGGAGGGAGGGCCUUGUGGCCCUGAGUGCCUGGUUCUAGGCCACUGCAAGUGCAGUGAAGGGCAGACAGGCCUUCAUUCUGUGCCAGACAGGAUUCCCACGGGCAUGCUGUGCUCCAGGACCUGGUCAGCGCAGAAACGGCUCUUUCAAGAAUUACUCCAUCGGGUCCAGGUUCCACACACUUGAUCACCAGCUGAGAGCAGGAACUCCUUGUCUCAGAAUCAAAGGCUGCAUCUAUUUCCUGAUGGGAAGGACAGGACAACCCACCAGACCCAGUUUCCCCUCUGCUUCUGAAGAAAGGACACAGACCGCCUGCAGAACUUCACUCUCAGGUGUUGCCAGUGGAGAUUUCCUUUCCAGCCAGCCUGCCAGGAGACAGGAGUAGGCACUGAAUUCUAACUUUAGCCCAUUCUGUUCUGUAAGAAAGAACUGUAGUCCUCCAGGUGCUUAUUUGCAAUGUGUGCUCUAUUUUCAAACCGGUGCUACCUGGGAACCAUUGUGAGCAAGAGCUCAGAAGAAAGUCCUUUGUUCAAAUGAGAAGAUUCUGGAUUCCAUGGGGUGUGUCAGGUACACAGCUCUGUUACCAGCAUUGUUGUGGCAUACCCAGUCAGUCCCUGAGCCAAGGGACAGCACUCAGUGUCAGGUGUCCCAGAGGAAAGCAGGCCCUUCUGUCGCUGAGGGCUUGGUGGUCAGUCAGCUGGAGUGAAGCGCGAUGGGCAUCCAGCUGGCCUCCCUCCCCUGACUUAUAGAAGUGCCUUCAUCCUGCGGAGUGGAUGGUGCAUGCACGUGCACCGUGCUCCGGUCCUCUCUGGAGUACAUGGCAUUCAGUCUUUCAGUGGAAUGUCCUCGGCAUGCUGCUGGGGAUCCUACUGCAGUGCUUGUGACUAUGCGGUAAGUGUGACCGCAGGGCCCCUGGCAGGUGGGGGUCAAAACCAUGCAGGCAUUCAGAGGCCUAGAGCACCGGAAGGGGCCAGAAGAGAAUGUUUGCACUUGGACUCGGCCAGAGGCCUGGGAAGGGAGUUGGCCUCCUUUUCUAGCUGAGGGGACAUGAAGUUGUAUAGCCUCUUUCCAGAUCAAUCCCAUUGCCAUUGGAGGUAUUCACCUUUGGACCUCCUUAUGGCCAUUCCCUUCCCAUGGCUCUAAGUCUAACUAUGUCCCCGUUGAGACUUAGGAACCAUGGAGCUGUGAUUCACUCAGCCUGUGCCCAGGGAUCGAUUUUCACAGAAGCCUAUGCAUAUGGCAGGUGGGCACCAAGCAAGGCCACCCACCACGGCUAACAGUAGCACUUGCACUUAUUUGGACUUGGCUUUACCUUCCAGCUGGGGCACAGGGGGGCCAGUGGGAUCCCAGGCAUCAGUGCUGGGUUCGGGGCACAGCCACGAGGAGGUUUCUGGGUGAGGUGCCCAGGCAACAAGAGCCCCGUGCAUUAGGCUGCACCAUAGCUGACUCAGUGGCCCAGAAGAGCCACCCUGUGAUCAUGGUUUGGCAACCAUGGCACAGGCUUGUGCAGCACUGUCCUUCAGCAUCCUCAGCGGGAGCAACAGUGACAGUUCUGGCUGGCAAGUCUAUAUCGCUCACAGCCCCAAAGACAGUGGCAGAAGGCAGGGACUGGCAGACAGGGAGGGACCCAUGAGGGCAGCGCACCUGGUCUUUGCCUCUUUGCCAGUUCACUUCUCCCCUUUCAGGUUUGGAGGAUUAAUGUGCCCUCACAUGUAUGUCCUCUCAUGAAAGGGAUAUGCAUGAUGUGAGGUAUGGGACAAAGCCAGGAAGAACCUAUAAUGAGGAUGAACUGAGUCAAGAUGCGGGCCAGUGUGCAACAGGCCUGCAGGAAAUGCAGAGGGAGGUGGAAGACCAGGACUACCUUGCCUGUUCACAUAUCAGUCAGGUUGCAAUGGUUUAAAAUAAAUCGAUCUUGCCCUGA